RNAcentral lists this ribosomal RNA (3152 nucleotides) under Durio zibethinus. RNAcentral describes it as "eukaryotic LSU rRNA". The stretch from base 193 to 2684 matches the Rfam family "Eukaryotic large subunit ribosomal RNA". Lineage: Eukaryota; Viridiplantae; Streptophyta; Magnoliopsida; Malvales; Malvaceae. The record is from RNAcentral.
ACUCUUGGCAAUGGAUAUCUUGGCUCUUGUAUGAUGAAGAAUGUAGCAAAAUGUUAUACUUGCUGUGAAUUACAGAAUCCCAUGAACCAUCAAAUCUUGGAAUGUAAGUUACACCCUAAUUAGGUGAUGCACACUUGUUGUCCAUUCAGACCCCAUCAGACCCCUCACAUCACUCGAUCAAUGCUCAUAUCGUAACCCUAUGUUAGGUGGGAUUACCCACUAAGUUUAAGCAUAUCAAUAAGUAGACGAAAAAAAACUUACUAGGAUUUCUUUAGUAAUAGCAAGCAAAUCAGGAUAAGCCCAGCUUAAGAAUCGAGCACCCCUAACAUCAAAAUUGUAGUCUAAAAAAAAUCCCUAGUGGUGGACUAGGCCCAAGUCCCCUGAAAAAGGGCAUCGAAGAGGGUGAGAGCCUCAUUGUGCCUAGACCCUGUCACACUAUAAGGCAUUGUCUGUGAGUUAGGUUGUUUGAAAAUAUAGCCCUAAUCGGCUGGUAAAUUCUAUCUAAUGUUAAAUACCGGUGAGAGACCAAUAGCAAACAAGUACAAUAAGGGAAUGAUGAAAAUGACUUUGAAAAGAGAGUCAAAGAAUGCUCAAAAUUGUCAAGAAAGAAGUAAAUGGGAACCCAUGAUGCACCCCAAUUGGAUGUGAAAUGGUAAGAACUAGUCUAUCGAUCAGCUUAGGGCAUGGACCAAUGUUGGUCGUAACGGUGGCCUAAGCCCAAGCUUUUGAUAUGCCUACAGAGACAUCAUUGCCAUAAUCAUGGAAUGUAGCACAUGCCAUCUCAACAUGCCUCAACAUCUGUAUGUUCCCAACGUUGGCUUGCGGGCUCCCCAUCCAACCUAUCUUGAAACAAAGACUAAGGAAUCUGACAUAUAUGCAAGUCAACAGCUAGGAAACCUUUAAGGUGCAAGGAAACUAAUUGGCAUGAUCCCUUGUGGGUGCACCACUAACUGACCUUGAUCUUCUGAGAAGGGUUCGAGUAAAAGCAUGCCUAUUGGGACCUGAAAGAUAAUGAACUAUGCCUGAGUAGGGCAAAGCCAGAGGAAACUCUGGUGGAGGCCCACAAAAAUACUAACAUGCAAAUCAUUCAUUUGACUUGGGUAUAGGGGUGAAAGACUAAUCAAACCAUCUAGUAGUUGAUUCCUUCCAAAGUUUGCCUUAAGAUAGCCAGAGCCCUUAGCAAGUUCUAUCAAGGGAGUAACACCCUCACCCUAUUCUUAAACUUUAAAUAGGUAGGAUGGUGUGGCUAUUUCGUUGAACCUUGUCAGGGAAUUGAGAGCUCCAAGUGGGCCAUUUUUAGUAAGCAGAACUAGUGAUGUAGGAUGAACUAGAAGGUAGGUUACGGUGCCAAACUAUACACUAACCUAGACCUCACAAAAGGUGCUAGUUGAUUAAGAUAGUAGAAUAGUAGUCAUGAAAGUUGAAAUUUGUGAAAGAGUGUGUAACAACUUACCUGAUGAAUCAAGUAGCCCCAAAAAUGAAUGGUGCAUAAGCACUCGACCCAUACUCAGUGGUUAAGGCAAGGGCCAGGCCUCGAUGAUUAGAAGGGUGUGAUGGCUUUCGUAAAACCUGAGGCAUGAGCCCAGGCAAAAAAACUAUCAGUACAGAUCUUGGUGGUAAUAGCAAAUAUUCAAAUAAGAACUUUAAAGGCUAAUGAGGGGAAAAAUUCCAUAUGAAUGGCACUUACACAUGGGUUAGUCAAUCCUAAACCUGAGGCAUAAGCCCAAGCAGAGCGAUUGUUAGUGCAGAUCUUGGUGGUAAUAGCAAAUAUUCAAAUAAGAACUUUGAAGGCUAAAGAGGGGAAAUAUUCCAUGUGAACGGCACUUACACAUGGGUUAGUUGAUCCUAAGAGACAUGGAAAGCCCAUCUGAUAGUGCAUCGAACAUGAUUUUCAAAAGAGAAUCAAGUUAAAAUUCUUGAACUAGGAUGUCAUCGGUAAUAGCAAUGUUAAUGAGUCUAGAGAUGGCGAUAAGGGCCUCAGAAAGAGUUAUGUUUUCUAUUUAACGGCCAGUCCACCUCGGAAAUGGCUCAACCAAAGGUAGGGUCUAGCAACUAGAAGUGCAUCGCAUGUCACAUGGUGUUCGGUGUAACCCUAGUGGCCUUUGAAAAUCUGGAGGAUUGAGUGCCAUCUACACCCAAUCGUAGUCAUAAUCGUAUCACGUCUCUAAAGUGAAUAGCCUUUGGUCGAUGGAACAAUGUAAGCAAGUUAAGUCAGCAAAAUAGAUCCAUAACAUUAGGGAAAAUAUUCACUUUGAAGGUUUAGAAUAUUAUGAGAUAGGUUAGUUUUAUCCUAUUGAUGGUAGCAUCACAACAAUAAUUCAACCUAGUACAAGAGCAAUUGUUGAUUUGCACAAUUAGUCAUUGUGCUUGGUUGAAAAGCCAGUGGUGCAAAGCUACCAUGCGUUGGAUUAUGAUCAAAUGCCUCUAAGUUAGAAUCCAAACUAGAAGUGACACACACACCCGUCGCCUAAUUGCUGACCUACAGUAAGGGCCUAUGGCUUUCAAGAACAUGUGUCAUAGGUGUAACCCCUGUGGCGAACAAGCCAUACAGGCUUCCUUGGAGCUUCAUUCCCACUGAGCAGUGACCUUGCAAUUGACUUAAAUAUAUGAAGGGGUAUUAUAAGUGGAAAGUGGUCUUGCUACCAUGAUCCACUGAGAUUCAGCCCUUUGUCACUUUGAUUCAUCCAUUCCCCUUACACCCAUUGAAGCCUUUUCAUUUUAUUUUUUUUACACUGUACCUUUAGUGUUGGGGAUGAAUGGCGUUCCCUAUUGCAAUCGAUUUAGUUGGGUGAUGACAGCCCUCCCUCUGGUGUCCAAGUAAAUGGCAAUCAAAUGCCCUAGGCAUUUGUUAUAGGGAUAGGCUCACCCCUGGUGUAGGCACUUAGCUCAAUCUCUAUCGACACAUGUUGACCCUCAGUGUGAGUUGCUACCUCAAAUGCCAUCGACCGUAUCUAAUCCUUAGUUGCUAUACAAGAAAUCACAUCCAACACAGUCGGUAAAUGCCAACUCAUUCUAACCUUGGAUAUCGUCAACUAAUGCUGAACCUUUCAUUUGGGAUGUUGCUUUAGACACCAUCACCAGAUGCUAGCAAUGUUUGAACGAGCACUAGCCUCAACCACUAUCAAUACAAAUAGGCCAUUGGUGUGGGUUGU